AUCGUCAUCCGAGUGGAGGGACCAAGGGGAGAGGGCGGUUGGGAGGACUCCGCACGACCGGGAUCCGUCCAUGGGCGGUCGGCCCGACACAUGGUUGUAGGAACC
Molecule: non-coding RNA, 105 nt
Filed under: Tetraselmis sp. GSL018
Lineage: Eukaryota; Viridiplantae; Chlorophyta; Chlorodendrophyceae; Chlorodendrales; Chlorodendraceae
Source: RNAcentral